CCUUGGUGCCCGUCUUCGCCCAUUUGCGCAUUUUCCUUUAAACUAUCGUGCCCAGCGCCUGCGUGGCAGCCCUGUCUCUUCUGGGGACCCCUGGGCUGGAGUGGAUAGGGCUGCGCCCACUGGGCAAACUCCGCAGUCUCCGGGCCAUUGAGAGACAGACUCCCGAGCAGGCGCCCUGCGGGGUCUCCACGAGGUCCUGGGGGAGCCCUGGAAGCGGGUCCCUGGGCAGGGGACCCAAGACCCCAUCUCUAACUGGAGGACUGAGCCGCCUCCUCCCUCUGGAGACCUGCCCCCGGAUGCCCCGCCCCUUUUUCGUGACCCCCACCUGACCCGGAAGCCAGGCCCGACUGUCUCCAGAAGGACUUGGAGCAGAGGGAAGAGUUCCUCUUGUGUGCUUCUCUUCCCGCUGCGUCCCGCGACUCUGCCUACACGCCUCUGGCCGACCACCCCGUGCCGUGGAGACCCUCGACUUGCUGGCCUUGUGGUGAAGCAACAGGAGCAGGUGCUCAUAAGACACAUUGUGCACCCCAAACUCAGCAUCUGCUUCCAGAGAACGCAACCUGUGACAGCUGUGCCACAGUAAGAACUGGUAGUGCAGGAGUAAUAAACAUUUGGCUCUCCUCCCAUCCGUCCUUCUUCUGGCACAUUUUCAAUCCAAAAUUUAGGAACUUCCGUCACAGCUGCUUCUGUUUACUAAAGAGAUAGGCCUUAGAAAACGUGCAGCCUGCAGUGUGGUCAGUAGAGAGUUGAUCUUGUUCAAAGCCUACAGAAAAUUGAAGAACAUCACAGGGAAAAAGUAACUGAAGAGUUGGAAAGGGAUACUUAGUUCUGGAGGAGGAAGAGAAGAAAAAGCAUAUUUUGCUGAGCUAAAGGAGUAGGAUAUAGGUUUCAUCAGGGAAGAGAUUAUGUCGGUUUGGCUCAUUGCUGUACCUCUAGUGCCUAGGGCAGUGUCCGGCACGUGAUAAGCCCACGGGUAGAUGUCUUUUGCUGCUUGAAACUUGGCAUUUCUGAAACGCACUCAGUAUGUAAAUAUCUAUCUACUCUAGGAACAUGUACCAAUGUUUGACUGUUUCCUAGAAAUAUGCUCACUACUAAGCAAUCUGUUCAGGCUACUACUCUGCUGUGGAAGAUUCCCCUUCUCUGAAUGAGAGGCAGAAAGGCACCUCCCGUCAUGGAGAAGGUCAUCAGUAUUUGUAUCUAUAGUUCCUGGGAGUUUUGUGGAAUGUCAGUGUAUUAAUCUAUCUGAAGCUAAUUUAAAUAACGUCAUUAUCAUAAUUAAAAGUCAAAACCUUUACGUGAGGUUAAAUCAGAGAGAUCUCUUUCCUGGCUUGGCUGAAAAUACUAAGCCACAAAUGUUUCCUCUACACACCCCAUCUCCUUCUGCCAGUAACUCUUAAUUACUAAUGCACAUUGUUAGCUCCCCUCCACUUCAAAAAAUUUAAGUGCUUCUUGUGUAGGCAAUUUCAAAGAGAUCCAGAAGAAUCUAAUUAUGCUGAAAAUUUAAAUCCACCAUAUUUUCAGUGUCUUCCAAGUAUUUGGCAGAGGGUUAUCUACCAUUGCUGAUAUAAAUCAACUCUAAAAUAUUAUCCUGUUUCGCUUUAUUCUAAGUUUUGUAAUAAAAUGAAAUGCAGGUGUGUCUGGGGAAUUACAAAUGUGACCUUUUAAACAGUACUAUGUUGCACCCAAUUCUACAGUGAUAUUUUGAAAUAUGUGAUUAUCGAUUUGCUACUUUUUAUAUUUCUAAUAACUUUAACAUCUCCUAAAUGCCCUGCACUUACCAAUCAGUAAAGCACUAGCCAAAUGAAUCAGAUAGCAAUAAUUAGCCUAGUGCACACGUUUUCUGAGUAAUAGAAGGGAUUCAGGAUAAAAUAAACCUGUAUAGUAUGUUUUCUAUACUUUGCUAAAUGAUCAGAGAGAUUUCUACCCUAUGUUUGCUAACCUUCUUAUUGUAGGCAGAAUUCUGGUAUUAAAGAGCAGCAUUCUAAAAACUCAAGAUAAUUGGGCACUCUCAAUUCAGAGGUUUUUGCAAAUCCAUGAAUAAUUGCACAUAGUUAUGUGUGUAUAUACCAAAAGUCUUAAGACUCACUUACCUCCUGUGGGUUUAGUACUCGAGAUACAAGAAAUGAAAACGAGGGAAAUGAUUUAUCACUGAGAUUCCCAUAUUUAUGAAAGAUAUGUAUACCAAAUUGAUACUCCAGUAAGUGGCCUAUCUUUAAAAAAUAAAAUUAAAAAUGGAUUAUCCAUUGAUUGUGAUAAUUUCCAAGAAUUUUGUGAAGGAAAGGCUGAUUGACUAUGGGCAGUUAUUAAGUAAAAGAAAAAGAUAUAUUGAUAUUUAUGGUAACUAAUAGUAUCAUUAAAAUUCAAUACGAAAUGGAGACCAGACUUGAGAAUUUUCUGAGCAGACAAAACCGUUUAAGCCACAUAAACAAAACUACAUUUAGCUUAUUUCAUGAACAUAAGCAAAAUUUAACGUAGGUUAUUUCUUGUAAAUGCCUCUUAUAACCAUAAAAGAAACUUAUGUCAUUUUCCUAAAAUGAUACAAGAUAAUCACUUUUAACCAAUACCCUGCAGUCUGGAAACUCCCACUGUAAUAACUCACUAUGGUAAAGGUUAAACAACUUCCUCAUUUUCACUUUAUAAGCCGUUCUGUAACGUCACACCUCUGAACUUCAUAUCAUUUUGGGAUUUGAAAGCUUGCAGUUGGUGAACUGUUCUUAUUUGCACAGUAAACUCUUACUAAAUACUGUUUUACUGGCCUGGUUUUCUUUUUUACUGUUUCUGGAUUUUUGAAAGUCUUACUGGAUCUUUCCAGACUCUUAAAAAAACUCAUUCUCAAUAUAUCUCCUCUAUAUUUUCUGCUUUUAAAUUUUUUUACUAAUGUCUUCUAUUGCUAUGGUACGUUUGUCAUAACUAAGGAGCUAAUAUUGAUAUUAUUAUUAAACUCAAGUCCAUACUUUAUUUGGGUUUCCUUAGUUUUUACCUAACGUCUUCUUUCUGCUCCAGGAUGCCAUCCAGAGACACCGUAGGAGAUUUAGUCACCAUGUCUUUCUUCUUAGUCUCUUCUAGCUCAGUUCUCAGACUUUCCUUGUUUGUUGAUAACCUUGAAAGUUUGAGGAGUACUGGUCAGCUAUUUUGUAGAAUUCCUUUUAAUUUUUUUUUCCCUGAUGCUUUUCUCAUGAUUACACUCAGGUUGUAGUUUUUUGGAACUGCCAUUCCCAUCACUUCAAAUCAAGAGUACACUCUAUUAACAUGUCAUUAAUGGUGUUAAUCUUGGUGACUGGGUUUUCCAGGUUUCUCUACUAUAACUCUUCUCUUUUCCCCCCUUUUCCACACUGUACUCGUUGGAAGGAAGUCACUAUGCACAGCCCACACUUAAGUGGUGGGUUCUUAUGCCACAACUCCUCGAGAGGAUGCCUUCUUUAAUGACUGUUCAAGUUUCCUGUGUUUGGAGAGUUAUGCCAGAUCACUAAGAAUGCUCUGUCUUGAAAGCUGCUAAAUGGCUGACAUUUUGGGUCUCUAAGCAAAAUGUUAUUUUAAAAAAGUCCUUGAUCAGGAAUUAAUUCACUGAAUUCUUCCAAAAAGCUUUCCUGACUUAAGUGUCUGUAGCAUUAAAAAGGGAAAAAAAUGACAACAAAAUCCUUCAUACUUUAUCUUGACUUCUUUUGUAUAGUUCUUAGACCCAUGAUGGAUUAGAGACAGAAAGAAGGAAAUUUGCUUUCUGGUCCACUUACGCUUACCCAUAAUAUUGUAAAUCUAACUUGCAGAAUUCACAGCAUAAACUCACCUGAUAAAUGAUGCUGUGGACCAUGGGGCUCACUAACCUUUUCUUUUGACUUAAACUCUUACAACUUAUUUUUUCCUCUUUCUCAUUGCAGGCACUUCAU
RNAcentral lists this long non-coding RNA (3884 nucleotides) under Equus caballus (horse). RNAcentral's name for it is "lncRNA (ENSECAG00000054872.1)". The record is from RNAcentral. Lineage: Eukaryota; Metazoa; Chordata; Mammalia; Perissodactyla; Equidae.